RNAcentral lists this ribosomal RNA (1233 nucleotides) under uncultured Gammaproteobacteria bacterium. RNAcentral's name for it is "bacterial SSU rRNA". It matches the Rfam family "Bacterial small subunit ribosomal RNA", at positions 61 to 1282 of the family's 1533-position model. Lineage: Bacteria; Pseudomonadati; Pseudomonadota; Gammaproteobacteria. The record is from RNAcentral.
GUCGAACGGUAACAGGCCAUCGUGAUCUCUUCGGAGUGAACUAGGCGCUGACGAGUGGCGGACGGGUGAGUAAUACUUAGGAAUCUGCCCUGUAGUGGGGGGCAACUCGAGGAAACUCGAGCUAAUACCGCAUACGCCCUAAGGGGGAAAGCGGGGGAUCAUUAGACCUCGUGCUAUUGGAUGAGCCUAAGUCGGAUUAGUUUGUUGGUAGGGUAAUAGACUACCAAGGCUACGAUCCGUAGCUGGUCUGAGAGGACGAUCAGCCACACUGGGACUGAGACACGGCCCAGACUCCUACGGGAGGCAGCAGUGGGGAAUAUUGGACAAUGGGCGAAAGCCUGAUCCAGCAAUGCCGCGUGUGUGAAGAAGGCCUGAGGGUUGUAAAGCACUUUCAGUAGUGAAGAAAAACUUAGAGUUAAUACCUUUAAGUCGUGACGUUAACUACAGAAGAAGCACCGGCUAACUCCGUGCCAGCAGCCGCGGUAAUACGGAGGGUGCGAGCGUUAAUCGGAAUUACUGGGCGUAAAGCGCGCGUAGGCGGUUUUGUAAGUCGGAUGUGAAAGCCCAGGGCUUAACCUUGGAAUUGCAUUCGAUACUGCAUCACUAGAGUAUGGUAGAGGGAAGUGGAAUUUCCGGUGUAGCGGUGAAAUGCGUAGAUAUCGGAAGGAACAUCAGUGGCGAAGGCGACUUCCUGGACCAAUACUGACGCUCAGGUGCGAAAGCGUGGGGAGCAAACAGGAUUAGAUACCCUGGUAGUCCACGCCGUAAACGAUGAGAACUAGAUGUCGGGGGGGUUGCCUUUCGGUAUCGUAGCUAACGCGUUAAGUUCUCCGCCUGGGGAGUACGCCGGCAACGGUAAAACUCAAAGGAAUUGACGGGGACCCGCACAAGCGGUGGAGCAUGUGGUUUAUUCGAUGCACGCGAGACCUUACCUGCCCUUGACAUACUCGAAACUUGUCAGAGAUGACUUGCUGCUUCGGGAUCGAGAUACAGGUGCUGCAUGCUGUCGUCAGCUCGUGUCGUGAGAUGUUGGGUAGUCCCGCAACGAGCGCAACCUUGUUCCUAGUACCAGCACUUCGGUGAGAACUCUAGGAGACCGCCGGUGACAAACCGGAAGAAAGAGGGGGGACAACAUCAGUCAUUCAUGGCCUUAUGGGGAGGGCUUACACUGGCUCAAAUGGCGAUACAAAGGGAGGUAACCUGCUAAAGGGGGGCACAUCUCCUCCAAAAAAA